This 465-nucleotide ribosomal RNA is filed under the name uncultured bacterium. RNAcentral describes it as "bacterial SSU rRNA". It matches the Rfam family "Bacterial small subunit ribosomal RNA", at positions 338 to 795 of the family's 1533-position model. The record is from RNAcentral.
CCUACGGGCCGCACCAGUGGGGAAUAUCGCACAAUGGGCGCAAGCCUGAUGCAGCCAUGCCGCGUGUGUGAAGAAGGCCUUCGGGUUGUAAAGCACUUUCAGCGGGGAUGAAGGCGUUAAGGUUAAUAACCUUGCCGAUUGACGUUACCCGCAGAAGAAGCACCGGCUAACUCCGUGCCAGCAGCCGCGGUAAUACGGAGGGUGCAAGCGUUAAUCGGAAUUACUGGGCGUAAAGCGCACGCAGGCGGUCUGUCAAGUCGGAUGUGAAAUCCCCGGGCUCAACCUGGGAACUGCAUUCGAAACUGGCAGGCUAGAGUCUUGUAGAGGGGGGUAGAAUUCCAGGUGUAGCGGUGAAAUGCGUAGAGAUUUGGAGGAAUACCGGUGGCGAAGGCGGCCCCCUGGACAAAGACUGACGCUCAGGUGCGAAAGCGUGGGGAGCAAACAGGAUUAGAUACCCCGGUAGUC